This 7569-nucleotide long non-coding RNA is filed under the name Eutrema salsugineum. Its description in RNAcentral is "long non-coding RNA (ESAL_LNC000043)". Lineage: Eukaryota; Viridiplantae; Streptophyta; Magnoliopsida; Brassicales; Brassicaceae. The record is from RNAcentral.
GCUUUCCCUAGUAGUUAGCUUUUAAUAUUCUGUUUUUCAUUGGAACUUUCAUGUUUUCUCUCCUUUAGGGAUCUACUUCUCUGAAGAACCUAUAUGGACUAGAUCUUUGUUCAUUGUUUCUAGUUCUUGAAAGUUAUUGUUUCUCGUUGCAGGUUGUAAAAGCUUGAGGAGAUUAAGAAACCUGGAGAUUCUGGAUCUCUCUUAUAAUGAAUUCAACAACAGUAUCUUUCCCUUUCUUAACGCUGCAACAUCACUCACAACUCUUUUUCUUAGGGACAACUUCAUGGUUGACCCUUUUCCUGUUAAAGGUAUGUUUUCCCAUUUGUAUAUAUAGCAUGUCCUAAUUCUUUUAGGGAUGAUAUAUUAUUCUUCUACUAGGGAUUAACCCGCGCUAUAUAUUUUUUAUCAUUAAUUAAUUUAAAUAAUUUUAUGAAACAGUUAUUUUGUAAAAACAGUUAUUGUUAUAAAGUUUACAAUAAUAUAGUGCAUAUUUUUAUGAAUUUUAAAUAAUGAAUUGAUCUGUAUAUAUAUAUAUAUAUAUAUAUAUUUGAAUUAUAAAAAAUAAGUUAAUCCGUAUAUGAAAUUAUUUUAUAAGCGUGUAAAACAAAAUAAGUUGUUUUAAUUUCGUUGGUACUAAACUAAAAUAUUAAUUAGGCUAAUAUAUAAAAAUUAUAAUAUUAUAAUCAUCAACUCUAAUUUGCAUCGUUUAAUAAUUGACAUUUAUAAUCUGUUCACAAACUAUAAAAAUUUAAUUUUAUCUUUUUAACUAUAUAUGAAAAUAAUAUAAUAUUCUUUACACUUAGGUUUGAUAUACAAUAAAUAAAUAUAUAACAAAUUAUAUUUAAUUUUAAAAAUAAAUAUAAUUUAGUAGAUUGAAUAUAUUACCUAUUUUAAAAAAUUAAUAUUUUGAAUUUUGAGAUUUUUUGUGGGUAUUAAAAAAUUAAAAUUAUAAUCUAUUCAUAUCGAACUAACCAUUUACUUAACAUGUUUGUAUUGGAUAAAAAUUUAAUAAUUAAUUAUAAUAUUCACCGUUCAAUAACUCUUAUUUUACCACAAACUUUUUUUAUUUAAAAAUCAAUUUUUUUAUAUCAAAAUUUUAGUAAAAUAACUAAAAAUGUAUUUUUGUAUAUAAUCAAUCAAAUGUAGCAAAUUAUUGAAAAAAAAUACUUCACCACUUUUUUAAUAUCAUAACUUUUAAUUUUGACUUUUAUAAUAUUUCUAAUUCAAAAAUUGAUUUUCACGUUUUUUAAUUAAAAUAUACUUUAUAAUAUCAUUUGAAAAUAAAAAUAAUAAAAAUACUAUCAUAUUUUUAAAUUUAGAAAUUAAAUAAUAAAUAUACUCUAUUAAAUGAGAAAUAAAAAUUUUCCAUAUUUUUAGCAAUAGAGUUGAAAGACAACUAUAUCAUUUUCUAUUUUAAUUAUUCUUUGUUAUUUUUAAUAGCAUUAAUAUUUUACAAAAUAAAGAUUAUAUUUUAAGAGUUUCAGAUUUAACUCAUAUUUCAAAGUCAAACACAAAACUAACCUCUUUUUUUUCUCUCUCCAACUUUUGUUAUUUUCUCACAAUUUUAUCCUUCUCACUUAAACUAUUAUCGAAAAUGCCAUUAUACAUCUAAUAAAUCGAUUUUUCUUUAAUUGGCUAAAGUCUUCUUGGACCUUCUAAAAACUUUUUAAUUACGAGACUGCCAUCGUCUUUAGUAUCUUCAACCACCAUGAACAACCAUGAAAAUGGAAUAAAUGCUUAUCAACCUGUUUUAAAGCUGUAAUAAAACAAAUAUCUAAGCUCAUUCACUCAUAAUCUUGCUCAUUCUAUCAUAAUUUCUUCUCCAAAACAUCUGGGCAUAGUUGCAAUGCUUCGCGCCAUCCUUUUGCGGUGAAUUCUGGUUUACUCGACACCUGGGUUGUUUAAUUUCAGUGAAAUCCUAAGUUCUGGGUAGAUAAGAGAAACUUAGGGGAGCUCAAUUUUGUCAAAGGUAAUUCUCGCACUUCAAUUUCUCCACAUUUCAGUUUUUAUAUCGCGAAAGUAGACUUCUCGUGAACUAUAGUAAAGCCUAUGAGUCAACAUAAGGUUAUUUUUGCAAUUGACUUUUAAAAAGUAGACUUCUUUAAACCUCACGAGAAGUCUACUCGAUAUCCUUUGAAAACAAAAUAAAAUCAUAGUAGACUUCAUCUGACGGCUUAAGAAGUCUACGAAAGAAAAGAGGUUAUUUUUGUAGUUGACCGUAUUUUGACUUUUUAAUGUAGACUUCUAACUGAAGUUUACUGUUUACGUCUGCACACGAAGUCUACAUUUAGGUUAAUUUUGUAGUUUGACCAAAAACAUAUAGGUCAUUUUUGUGUUUGACUUAUGUUUUUCAAAAAUUAAAAAAUUAAAAAAAUUUCAAAAAGCUUCAGUAGACUUCACAAAGAAGUCUACAGUUUGUAGACUUCUUUGUGAAGUCUACUUAUUGUGUUCGGUCAAACUUAGAAGGAAUAUUUUUUUAGUAGACUUCAUUGUGAAGUCUACUAAAAAAAUUCAAUUGCAAAAAUAACCUAUUUCGUUCCGUAGACUUCUAUUUAUAAAGUAGACUUCAAACGUAGACUGCCAGAGAAGUCUACUCUUACAUGAAGUCUACAAUAGAAGUCUACUGUGUUAGUCAACGCGGUGGUCAAAUGCAAAAGUAACAUUCUUUGCCUGAAGUCUACAACUGAAGUCUACUGAAGAAAAAGUCAACGGAAUGGUCAAUUGCAAAAAUAACAUUUUUUUAGUAGACUUCAGUAGUAGACUUCUCAAUGAAAAAGUAGACUUCUCCUCCAGUCUACAUUCGAAGUCUAAAUAAGAAGUCUACUUUCCUAUGUUUUUUUUAAAACGCGUUUUAAGCAAAUGUAUAAAAUAUUUUUCAAACUUUUUGGUUCAGAAUUGCCUCUUAUUAGGUGAUUGAGCUACCCAUUGAAUUUUAUCUCAUUUCAUUGGAUAUUCAUGGUGGAAUCAGAAGUUUCAAUUUUUAAGAUACUUAGCUUAUAAAAGUAGACUUCGUAGUGAAGUCUACGUUCUAAGUCUACACUAGAAGUCUACGUUUAGACGUUUUUAUAAAAACGCCAUUUAAGCAAAUCUAUAAAAAAAAUUUCAAAUUUUUUUGUUUACAAUUGUUUAUUAAUUAGUGAUUGAACUAUCUAGGGCUUUUUAUUCUGUUUCAUUGAAUAUUUCUUGUUGAAUCAGAAUUUUCGAUUUUUAAGGUACUCAGCUUAUCAAAGUAGACUUCAUCGUGAAGUCUACUUUGAUACAAAAAGUCUCUAUGAUUGUUUGCUAAUACGGUUUAUAUGGUUAUUUUUCAGAGGAUGGCUCAAAUUCCAGACUUAUAAUUCUUAUCAUAAUAAAACUUUCUGUUGACUUAUACUAUCGGUGUACACUUUUCCGCAUACACUUUGUUUUGUAUACUCGAAAAUUACAUAACUUAAUUAUAAGGGUGAAAUCGAAAAUUUGAAAUAUUAACAUGUUAAUAGACUUAAUAGACUUCAGUACAGAUACAAUGACAAGUUAGUAGACUUCAGUCACAGACUUCAGUCGUAGACUUCAGUUUUAGUACAAAUCCUAAACGAAAAUACAACAUAUUUGGCAAGUUAAUUAUAAGAUAGGUGGCCAAAAAACUUCCACACCUAUUAUUUACCAAUUGCUAAAAUGACCUCCAAUCACAUGGAAGGUCAUUUAUGCAAAUAGCCCAAAAGUUGCCAUAAAAAUCAAAGUUAAUUUUAAGAACGAAAACACUAAGCUUGCCUAUCAUAGACAUCCAACCCGGUUGCAUCUAGCUUAUCAUGGCCCUUACAUCCUGUCGCAGCCAGCUGGCGGUGUCGGGCACUCGUUGCUCGGGAAACUAGCUGAGCCGCUUCUCUGGCUUUGGCAUUUUUGGCAAGUGCAACCGCAUCGAAGUCUACAUCACACGUCUUCGGGUCAAUUUCACAAAUACUAGGCUCUGGGGCCUCUUCUUCAUUAACGGCAGCCUUCUUUCCUUUUGCAUCCCCGGGGGUGUUAACACUCUCACACGCACCAACGUUGACAUUAGCCCUCUUCGGAGCAUCAUCUUUCUCUGAAUUACUCUGUAGUUUAUUGUCAGAAACAUGCAUGAAUAUACAAAUGAGUACACCAAUGCUAUAAUUUAGUAACAUGUUUUAUCAUAGUCUGAAAAUUGUAAACAACAAGUUUUGAAAACAUAAGUAAAUAAUCUCAAAUGGUACAUAACAGUAGUAAACAUGUUCGAAUUCAAAUGACAUUAGUAUUAAGUGUUCCUAACUUUGUGUGAUCCUGUUCGCAUGUAAUGUUUUCGUAUAGGCGGAGGGUUUUUGGAACUAACCCCUUCAUGCUUCUUGGAUCCAGUGCCCUGCUGCUGGGUUGGCUCUUCCUCAGUGUGCUUCGCCGACCCUGUAGUCAACUCUUCUACCGCACGCUCUACAGAUUCAACCUUCUCGGUGAGAAGUUUGAUCUGCUUUUCACAGCUACCAAGACCAUUCAGCAUCUUGGUUGAAAAGCUUUCGAAGCAUUGGUCGAAGUGCGCUUUCAUAGUAGCGACAACUCCGACCCCUUCAUCACCAACGAAUGAUGCGGCAGAUGCAGAGGCUGUGCAGGGUCUCUUGCGACUUGAUUCAUCUGAGGGAAGGCUCCUCUUUCAGGCUUCUGACUUGACGAUGUGUGCACCCAAAACACCUUCCAAAGGCCAAUGGUCUUUUGAGAACUUGGAAUUGGGGUCAUGGAGUGCAUUGACAAUCUUUACAAUAUCUGGAUCCUGUUCGUCAUCAUCCCACACGGGAAACAUAUCCGCCAAGUCCUUAGCCACGCAGGACUGUAUGCGAGCCUGGAAAAACACGAUUAAUAAAUAGAUUUAGAGCCAUAUGAAGCCUCGGAAAACUACGUAUGAAGUCUACUCCUGAAAUCUAACAUAGAAGUCUACCCCUGAAGUCUAACACAGAAGUCUACUCCUGAAUGUCACACACUAUUAAUGACACAUAUAGAAGUCUACACAUGAAGUCUACUUCUGAAGUCUACAUUGAAAACUCAUUACUACAUAGAAGUCUACUACACUAAUACAGUACUUGUUUUAGCAUGUUGGCUUUGACGUUCCUUCGUCCUCUGGAUCCUUUGUAAGCCAGCAAAAGAGGUUCUUCAGUAACAUUUGGCAAUGGUUCGCCAAAUUCAGCAGCAAAAUCUGGUAAAGCAUAGUAAACCCACAGUUGAAGAGCUUGCACAAAUCCUUCUAUAUGAAUGUUUUUGCUGAGAUCUUUCUCCUUAACAGAAUUGAUCAAAUGCUGAAAAGCAAUUCUUCCCCAUGGAAACUCCUUAAAACCUUCGAGAUUCAUCACUAGUCUGGCAUGGUUGACAUUUGUGGAUGAGCCGGGUCUCGUUGCCACUAUGAAACCAGCGUAGAUCCCAAGAUAACCCAACCGCAGCCUAUCAUCACGAGACCAUGAUGAGCAGUUGGAACAGGCUUCGAUAAUUUUGGUAGUGCUUGGGCCCGACUCGGCAUCGACCCCCAUUAGCUCCAAAAUGCACGCGUGUCAUCGGAAAGCGCAAGAUCAGUUAAAGCCAAGUCAUCCACGUACCCGCAGUUAAGUCCGGUGAUCUCCUCAAACUCAUGCAAUAAAAACCGAACAGGAGUGGUACCAAUGAGGCUCCAUAUCUCGUACCUCUGCUUGCAAACUAUCUGAAAGGUCAGCAUGUGGUGCACCAGCCUAGAAGCCCAACCAAAAUCCAACUCGUGGAACUUUAAAAAGACACCCAACGGUGACUCGUAAAUCUCUUCCCAUUCAUCCUCCUCUAGAGCUGACUUUAGUGCAUGGACCAGCCUAUAAUCAUCAGCGUAAUAGCCGAUGCUUUUAUCCGGGACUGGCUCAAACCCUUUGGUGUAAAGUCUUCUGGGGAAUUCAGAGGCCAUUAUCUAACAAAGAUUCCUGCGUCAACAGUAACAAAGCUCUAAUGAGAAAAACUAGUAACGGUUUGAAACUAUACCCGAAUGAAGUCUACAGUUUCAAAAUGAAGUCUACUUUAUUAAAAUGAAGUCUACUUUCCCAAAAUAAAGUCUACUUUCCCAAAAUGAAGUCUACUUUCCCAAUAUGUGAAGUCUACUUUCAGUAAAAGAAGUCUACUUUCACAAAAAGAAGUCUACUUUCACAAAAAGAAGUCUACUUUCACAAAAUGAAGUCUACUUUCACAAAAUGAAGUCUACUUUCACAAAAUGAAGUCUACUUUCACAAAAUGAAGUUUACUUUCACAAAUGAAGUCUACUUUCACAAAAUGAAUUCUACUUUCACUAAAAUUACAGUAUAUGAAGUCAAUCUACAAAGUUUAGAGUGUUACCGCCUUUAUUAGAUGUAGCUGGCGCCGAGAAAAUACAACCAGAUCUGGUAAAAAAACCUAAGUCAAACCCGACGGAACAAAAAUUACAGGAAGAUAGAAGAAAUUUAAGAAUUGCUAAGGAUAUAACUUCGGAACAACAUCUACUAACCGUUUUGAGGCAGAAAAUUACUUUAACCUCCAACGGCGAAAGCAAAUCUGCAAAAAAAAACAAAAACCCUAAUUUCGGAUCUCGAAAACGGAACGGUGAUGAAUACAGAGGAGUAGGGAAGCAUGGGGGUGUGGUUGGAGAAAGAAAACUUGCCUGAACGAGUUUAUCGGCGGCAGUUCUGAAUGUCGACGGCGCCGGAGCAGAGAAACGGAAAUUGCCUUCGAGUUUUUUUUUUUACACGAACUUUUCGACGGUUUUUUUUUAACGGGAUCUGUAAUUCGUAUAUAUAGUCUGGUAAUUCCGUACGGUUCGGGUAAGUUUUUUCCGGUUAAAGUUGCUAAUUUUUCGGGGUCUAGGUUAAUUUACCCGGUUAAGGGCAGUUUCUCUUGGUUAAGGGAAGUUAUUUCCGGUUUAAUCUCGGUUAAAUAUCCGUUAGGUUAAUUUUUACGGUUUAGUAGACUUCAAUAUCGAAGUCUACAACUUUUAAAACCUAAAUAAUAAAUUUAUUUCUAUUUAAUUUAAAAACAUACAUUUCCAUUUACCAAUGUGAAAAAACUAAUUUUUUUGUAUUUGGGUUACUAUUAUGGAAUUUAUGAUGGUAAAAUUCAGACCAAAAUAAUUUUUUAUAAAUUUUUAAAUUAAAUUUACAGAUUUAAUUAUUUAGUAGACUUCAGUUUUACUUUAGUAGACUUCGUAAGGGAGAAAACGGUAAUUAGGAUAUCCGUUUUUUGUUUACACAUACAGGAUUAAAUGGUUUUUUCACUACCCCUGUAGAUUAUAUCUGUCAAAUGUUUUUUCAGGAGUCUACUUUUGUAUUCAAAAUCAAAUUUUGGGUUAUUUUUAGCAAAAACCCCAUAUUUUAAAAUGUUUACUCAAAUAAUAAUAUAGAGAUUCGUUGGACUCCCCCUUUUAGAACUUGGAGAUUUUGUUCAUUGUUUCUAAUUCUUGAAAGUUAUUGUUUCUCGUUGCAGGUUAUAAAAGCUUGAGGAGAUUAAGAGACCUGGAGAUUCUGGAUCUCUCCUGGAAUAAUUUCAACAACAGCAUCUUUCCCUUUCUUAACGCUGCUACAUCACUCACAACUCUGUUUCUUAGGGGCAACA